GAUGAACGCUGGCGGCGUGCCUAAUACAUGCAAGUCGAGCGAACGGACGAGAAGCUUGCUUUUCUGAUGUUAGCGGCGGACGGGUGAGUAACACGUGGAUAACCUACCUAGAAGACUGUGAUAACUUCGGGAAACCGGAGCUAAUACCUGAUAAUAUUUUGAACCGCAUGGUUCAAAAGUGAAAGACGGUCUUGCUGUCACUUAUAGAUGGAUCCGCGCUGCAUUAGCUAGUUGGUAAGGUAACGGCUUACCAAGGCAACGAUGCAUAGCCGACCUGAGAGGGUGAUCGGCCACACUGGAACUGAGACACGGUCCAGACUCCUACGGGAGGCAGCAGUAGGGAAUUUUCCGCAAUGGGCGAAAGCCUGACGGAGCAACGCCGCGUGAGUGAUGAAGGUCUUCGGAUCGUAAAACUCUGUUAUUAGGGAAGAACAUAUGUGUAAGUAACUGUGCACAUCUUGACGGUACCUAAUCAGAAAGCCACGGCUAACUACGUG
This 497-nucleotide ribosomal RNA is filed under the name uncultured bacterium. RNAcentral's name for it is "partial 16S ribosomal RNA". It matches the Rfam family "Bacterial small subunit ribosomal RNA", at positions 28 to 507 of the family's 1533-position model. The record is from RNAcentral.